GACGAACGCUGGCGGCGUGCUUAACACAUGCAAGUCGAACGGAAAGGCCCUGCUUUUGUGGGGUGCUCGAGUGGCGAACGGGUGAAUAACACGUGAGUAACCUGCCCUUGACUUUGGGAUAACUUCAGGAAACUGGGGCUAAUACCGGAUAGGAGCUCCUGCUGCAUGGUGGGGGUUGGAAAGUUUCGGCGGUUGGGGAUGGACUCGCGGCUUAUCAGCUUGUUGGUGGGGUAGUGGCUUACCAAGGCUUUGACGGGUAGCCGGCCUGUGAGGGUGACCGGCCACAUUGGGACUGAGAUACGGCCCAGACUCCUACGGGAGGCAGCAGUGGGGAAUAUUGCACAAUGGGCGGAAGCCUGAUGCAGCAACGCCGCGUGCGGGAUGACGGCCUUCGGGUUGUAACCCGCUUUCGCCUGUGACGAAGCGUGAGUGACGGUAAUGGGUAAAGAAGCACCGGCUAACUACGUG
RNAcentral lists this ribosomal RNA (468 nucleotides) under uncultured bacterium. RNAcentral describes it as "partial 16S ribosomal RNA". It matches the Rfam family "Bacterial small subunit ribosomal RNA", at positions 28 to 507 of the family's 1533-position model. The record is from RNAcentral.